This 253-nucleotide ribosomal RNA is filed under the name uncultured bacterium. RNAcentral's name for it is "partial 16S ribosomal RNA". It matches the Rfam family "Bacterial small subunit ribosomal RNA", at positions 524 to 776 of the family's 1533-position model. The record is from RNAcentral.
UACGUAGGUGGCAAGCGUUGUCCGGAUUUACUGGGCGUAAAGCGAACGCAGGCGGACUGUUAAGUAGGAAGUGAAAGGUUGGAGCUCAACUCCAAGAUGGCUUCCUAUACUGGCAGUCUUGAGUAGCGGAGAGGAAGGGGGAACGACACGUGUAGCGGUGAAAUGCGUUGAUAUGUGUCGGAACACCCAUGGCGAAAGCACCCUUCUGGACGCCAACUGACGCUCAGGUUCGAAAGCUAAGGUAGCGAACAGG